Molecule: long non-coding RNA, 101 nt
Organism: Lontra canadensis (Northern American river otter)
Lineage: Eukaryota; Metazoa; Chordata; Mammalia; Carnivora; Mustelidae
Exons: 3
Source: RefSeq, a predicted model, not a curated record
GUGGAAAAAUCAACAGGUAUGUUAUGUACAAACGUGGGGUAAAGACCAAAAGAAACGACAGGAAAUUGGAAAGCGUUAAACUCUGUAUGUGUGUGUGUGCG